AUAUCAGUCAUGCAUAGCAUAUCAAUAAGCGGAGGAAAAGAAACUAACAAGGAUUCCCCUAGUAACGGCGAGUGAAGCGGGAAGAGCUCAAAUUUGAAAUCUUCAAAGGGUUUCCCUUUACGAAUUGUAGUUUAAAGAAGUGUUUUCUGUUGGAGUUUCGGUAAAAGUUCUUUGGAAUAGGACAUCAUAGAGGGUGAGAAUCCCGUAUUUGACCGUUACUUUCCAGCUGUGUGAUACACUUUCAAAGAGUCGGAUUGUUUGGGAAUGCAGUCCAAAAUGGGUGGUAAAUUUCAUCUAAAGCUAAAUAUUGGCGAGAGACCGAUAGCGAACAAGUACCGUGAGGGAAAGAUGAAAAGAACUUUGAAAAGAGAGUUAAACAGUACGUGAAAUUGUCAAAAGGGAAGCGUUUGACACCAGUGUUGUUUAGUUGAAAAUCAAUUCAAUAAUUUUUGAUUUUGAGUAGUAUUGACUUAUCAGCUUGCUGCUUUCUUUUCAGAAAUUAUUUAAUGCACUUUUCAGUUAACAAGUCAACAUCAAUUUCUUUUGUUGUAAAAGGGUAAGAGGAAGGUGGCUUGCGCUUCGGCUCAAGUGUUUAUAGCCUUUUACCUCUGCAAUCGGAGAGAUUGAGGACUGCAGCGUAGACUCUUCGGGGUUAGAUACGUUUGUGCUAAGUUAUAGCCUUGUAUAGACAACUUGUUGACUAUACUCAGUCAUGUAGCUUACUCGCAGAUAGUAUUUUACCUACGCUUAGGAUGUUGAUCUCUCACAGUCGAGC
Molecule: ribosomal RNA, 775 nt
Filed under: uncultured Neocallimastigales
Lineage: Eukaryota; Fungi; Neocallimastigomycota; Neocallimastigomycetes; Neocallimastigales
Description: partial large subunit ribosomal RNA
Rfam family: Eukaryotic large subunit ribosomal RNA
Source: RNAcentral